GUUUCGUUCAUGACGCUCAAAACAAAGUGAAACAACUUGAACAAAAUGCAACAAGAUUGCUGGAAUUGAAAAGACAGCUUUUAGAUGGACAUGUGACAGAGGAGCAGCUUCUUGAGCAAGGAAAGUCGCAGCUGGCAAAAAUCACAGUAGCAAAGCUGCAGAAGAGAUUAGAAAUGUUGUAUUUUUCAGUCACUAGACGCACAAAAGAAAUAACUUCUAUUGCUGAUUCUAGCAAACGAAGAUCUUCCAUGAGAAGGAAAUGCCCUGAAGAGAAGUCCAAAAUAACAUCCACCGUAGAAGAGUUAAAUUGCCUCUCAAGUCUGUGUGCUCUUCCUACAACAAGUGCGGAAGAAAUCAUGUCUGGAGAUUUUGUUUAGUCGUUUAACCAGUGUGACAUAGAUAGUACGACUUCACAUGAUAUACCUGUGCGUUUCAAGGCACAAAUUGUCGAUAAGUACA
Molecule: long non-coding RNA, 459 nt
Organism: Xenia sp. Carnegie-2017
Lineage: Eukaryota; Metazoa; Cnidaria; Anthozoa; Malacalcyonacea; Xeniidae
Exons: 3
Source: RefSeq, a predicted model, not a curated record